This 252-nucleotide ribosomal RNA is filed under the name uncultured bacterium. RNAcentral describes it as "partial 16S ribosomal RNA". It matches the Rfam family "Bacterial small subunit ribosomal RNA", at positions 524 to 776 of the family's 1533-position model. The record is from RNAcentral. RNAcentral also lists the same sequence under 1 other name.
UACGUAGGUGGCAAGCGUUGUCCGGAUUUAUUGGGCGUAAAGCGCGCGCAGGCGGCUAUGUAAGUCUGGUGUUAAAGCCCGGAGCUCAACUCCGGUUCGCAUCGGAAACUGUGUAGCUUGAGUGCAGAAGAGGAAAGCGGUAUUCCACGUGUAGCGGUGAAAUGCGUAGAGAUGUGGAGGAACACCAGUGGCGAAGGCGGCUUUCUGGUCUGUAACUGACGCUGAGGCGCGAAAGCGUGGGGAGCAAACAGG